CAGGGCGGGCCGGCCAUAAAAAUGCCAGUCGAGCGGACAGAAGGGAGCUUGCUCCCGGAUGUUAGCGGCGGACGGGUGAGUAACACGUGGGUAACCUGCCUGUAAGACUGGGAUAACUCCGGGAAACCGGAGCUAAUACCGGAUAGUUCCUUGAACCGCAUGGUUCAAGGAUGAAAGACGGUUUCGGCUGUCACUUACAGAUGGACCCGCGGCGCAUUAACUAGUUGGUGGGGUAAUGGCUCACCAAGGCGACGAUGCGUACCCAACCUGAGAGGGUGAUCGGCCACACUGGGACUGAGACACGGCCCAGACUCCUACGGGAGGCAGCAGUAGGGAAUCUUCCGCAAUGGACGAAAGUCUGACGGAGCAACGCCGCGUGAGUGAUGAAGGUUUUCGGAUCGUAAAGCUCUGUUGUUAGGGAAGAACAAGUGCGAGAGUAACUGCUCGCACCUUGACGGUACCUAACCAGAAAGCCACGGCUAACUACGUGCCAGCAGCCGCGGUAAUACUUAGGUGGCAAGCGUUGUCCAGUAUUAUUGGGCGUAAAGGGCUCGCAGGCGGUUUCUUAAGUCUGAUGUGAAAGCCCCCGGCUCAACCGGGGAGGGUCAUUGGAAACUGGGAAACUUGAGUGCAGAAAGGAGAGUGGAAUUCCCACGUGUAGCGGUGAAAUGCGUAGA
Molecule: ribosomal RNA, 677 nt
Filed under: Bacillus pumilus
Lineage: Bacteria; Bacillati; Bacillota; Bacilli; Caryophanales; Bacillaceae
Description: bacterial SSU rRNA
Rfam family: Bacterial small subunit ribosomal RNA
Source: RNAcentral